Molecule: long non-coding RNA, 986 nt
Organism: Lotus japonicus
Lineage: Eukaryota; Viridiplantae; Streptophyta; Magnoliopsida; Fabales; Fabaceae
Exons: 3
Source: RefSeq, a predicted model, not a curated record
GAAAAGAUUGAACCCUAACUUUCUCCUUCUUGGUUGAACGAUUGUGACCCUCCUCCUCUGCUCGCACUGCUCAUCUUGGUGACCCUCCUCUCUUGAUCGCUGCAGCAUCUAGGGUUUCUCGAAGUGCAUGGGCCAUGGCUUCCCCUGCACAUUUCGACGAUGACUUCGAUUUCGGAGGCGAAAUUGGCAGAAGGCAUUCAGGUAGUAAGAGGCCAUCCCCGGAUUACGAUGAUGAUGAUUACGACAAUGAUCCUUUUGCACCGAAGAAGGUAACUGCUUGAUUGAUACGAAUCGCUUAUGCAAUUUUGCAAUGCAUGCUUUUAGCUUCGAUGAUUCCACCUUGUGUUCAUUCUUUUUUUUUUUUUCUCUUUCUGUCUUGAAAUUGGAUUAUGGGUUGUGGAUUGCGGAAAGUGAGUACUGCCAACCAAUUGCUAGUUCUUUUCUUACUAAAUCUGGUUUUUUUUCUUCUGGUUCUGGCUUCUUGGUUGCUGCAUAUUUUUGUGUGUGCCCUACUUUGAUUUAUGAUGGCAUCUCGGCUUAGCUUUAUGUUGGACUUUGGCUGGACUAUUCCUCCUAGUUGUUUUCUUCUGUUGGUGUGCCUGUGAGGUGUAAGAGCAAGUCUGCUUGGCUGUAAUGCUUUGUACUUAUGCUGCUGCUUCUUUUUCUUUUUCUUAGACAUGUUUCCUUUCCUCAUCUUUUACUGUUUUAGUCUUCUACUAUCUUAGUUUUAGUAUCUUCUUUUUCUAUUUUUUCUAGCUUGCUUUUUUUCCUUUUUUCAUGUAUCCUUGGAAGCACCUCACUUGGGAGAGUUUGUUUCCAAGACAUUUCUUUAUCAAUUGAAUGAUUUUGAUUCUCUAAAAAAAAACUUCUAUUCAGUUCAUGGAAACAGUACAUUGUCAAUUUUGCUGUUAUAUUUGCACCAUAGAGAAGCUAUAUGUUAUAUUAGUUAGAUUGUUAGUGGAUAUUUGCCUUAACAAAUAAAAAGG